Molecule: small nucleolar RNA, 219 nt
Filed under: Setaria italica (foxtail millet)
Lineage: Eukaryota; Viridiplantae; Streptophyta; Magnoliopsida; Poales; Poaceae
Description: snoRNA Plant_U3
Rfam family: Plant small nucleolar RNA U3
About the family: Small nucleolar RNAs (snoRNAs) are involved in the processing and modification of rRNA in the nucleolus. There are two main classes of snoRNAs: the box C/D class, and the box H/ACA class.
Source: Rfam by way of RNAcentral
ACGACCUUACUUGAACAGGAUCUGUUCUAUAGGAUCGUACCGCUGCAUCCUUGACUAAUAAGGAGGCAAGCACUUAAGCCUGGUUGAUGAUUCAAGACCUGUGGGCCAGAGCGUGAUUAACGGCCUGGAUUGAGCUUUGAUGCUCCAUCCACGGCUGUAGAGGAUCGUUCCUGGUCAGGCUUGCCUUGCUGGGGUGGCCCUCAGGUUGUCUGACAGGUU